AUACGUAGGGAGCGAGCGUUGUCCGGAAUUACUGGGCGUAAAGGGCGCGUAGGCGGCGCUUCAAGUCGUCUGUCAAAUGGGAGGGCUUAACCCUUUUUCGCAGACGAAACUGGAGAGCUUGAGAAGCAGAGAGGCAAACAGAAUUCCUGGUGUAGCGGUGAAAUGCGUAGAUAUCAGGAAGAAUACCAGUGGCGAAGGCGGUUUGCUGGCUGCAUACUGACGCUGAAGCGCGAAAGCCAGGGGAGCAAACGGGAUUAGAUACCCCGGUAGUCCUGGCAGUAAACGAUGUAUGCUGGGUGUGGGAGUAGCGAUACCUCCGUGCCGAAGUUAACGCGAUAAGCAUACCGCCUGGGGAGUACGGUCGCAAGAUUGAAACUCAAAGGAAUUGGCGGGG
This 394-nucleotide ribosomal RNA is filed under the name uncultured bacterium. RNAcentral's name for it is "partial 16S ribosomal RNA". It matches the Rfam family "Bacterial small subunit ribosomal RNA", at positions 523 to 918 of the family's 1533-position model. The record is from RNAcentral.